Molecule: transfer RNA, 72 nt
Filed under: Camelus bactrianus (Bactrian camel)
Lineage: Eukaryota; Metazoa; Chordata; Mammalia; Artiodactyla; Camelidae
Also listed under: 1 other name
Rfam family: tRNA
About the family: Transfer RNA (tRNA) molecules are approximately 80 nucleotides in length. Their secondary structure includes four short double-helical elements and three loops (D, anti-codon, and T loops). Further hydrogen bonds mediate the characteristic L-shaped molecular structure. tRNAs have two regions of fundamental functional importance: the anti-codon, which is responsible for specific mRNA codon recognition, and the 3' end, to which the tRNAs corresponding amino acid is attached (by aminoacyl-tRNA synthetases). tRNAs cope with the degeneracy of the genetic code in two manners: having more than one tRNA (with a specific anti-codon) for a particular amino acid; and 'wobble' base-pairing, i.e. permitting non-standard base-pairing at the 3rd anti-codon position.
Source: Rfam by way of RNAcentral
GGGGGUAUAGAUUAGCGGUAGAGCACAUGCUUAGCCUGAGAGGGAUCCUGGGUUCAAUCCCCAGUACCUCCA